CCUACGGGAGGCAGCAGUGGGGAAUUUUCCGCAAUGGGCGAAAGCCUGACGGAGCAAGACCGCGUGGGGGAAGAAGGCUCUUGGGUUGUAAACUCCUUUUCUCUGGGAAGAACAAAAUGACGGUACCAGAGGAAUCAGCAUCGGCUAACUCCGUGCCAGCAGCCGCGGUAAGACGGAGGAUGCAAGCGUUAUCCGGAAUGAUUGGGCGUAAAGCGUCCGCAGGUGGCAGUUCAAGUCUGCUGUCAAAGACCGGGGCUCAACCUCGGAAAGGCAGUGGAAACUGAACAGCUAGAGUAUGGUAGGGGCAAAGGGAAUUCCUGGUGUAGCGGUGAAAUGCGUAGAGAUCAGGAAGAACAUCGGUGGCGAAGGCGCUUUGCUGGACCAUAACUGACACUCAGGGACGAAAGCUAGGGGAGCGAAUGGGAUUAGAUACCCCAGUAGUC
This 443-nucleotide ribosomal RNA is filed under the name uncultured bacterium. RNAcentral describes it as "bacterial SSU rRNA". It matches the Rfam family "Bacterial small subunit ribosomal RNA", at positions 338 to 795 of the family's 1533-position model. The record is from RNAcentral.